Ceratitis capitata (Mediterranean fruit fly) is the source of this 646-nucleotide long non-coding RNA. RefSeq lists it as uncharacterized. The transcript has 3 exons. Lineage: Eukaryota; Metazoa; Arthropoda; Insecta; Diptera; Tephritidae. The record is from RefSeq and is a predicted model, not a curated record.
UUUUAUCAAAAAUUAUUUUAAUCAAAAUUCCAUUCUUCCUUUUCUCUCCACUAAGUAAUUCAACUUCAUGUACAUAAAUACAUACUUCAAAAUUUGUUAGCGAACUAAAAGAAAUCUUCAAACCUGUAUGAAAGUGUUUUGAAAUCAGAACAAAAAAACACGGAAGAAACAAAAAGCCAAGGGAAAGUGGAGAAAGCCCGAUGAAGUGUAAGACAAAACCAGGCCAAAAGUUAUAACAAUACAAGCAACAUCCUGCUCAACAUAUUAACAACCACAACAACAAAAAUAUACCAGCAGAAACAACAAAAGAGACACACCAAAAGAUUUACAGCCUCACGUUUCUUCGUUGCUUUUUCCCCACCCGCAAAAACCAGCUAACCAUGUGGCAAGUAAAUAGAGAGCUUCAGUGCAAAACGAAGAAGUAAACAAUAAGAAAAAAAGAAUUAGAAAAUGAGAAGUUAGGAAAUAGCUAUGCAAGCUGAGCAAAAGAUGUGGCGAGGUGCGUUAAUGCGGCCACAAUACAAGCGCAUGAUGAAGCAGAAGCAGAAGCAGAAGGAAGAGUAGAACAUUAAGACCAAAAAGACGUGGAAAAUGUCGAUGCAGCUGCGUCCGCCGUUGUUGUUGUUGUUGUUGCUGUCGUUGCGCC